Molecule: long non-coding RNA, 578 nt
Organism: Hibiscus syriacus
Lineage: Eukaryota; Viridiplantae; Streptophyta; Magnoliopsida; Malvales; Malvaceae
Exons: 2
Source: RefSeq, a predicted model, not a curated record
GAGAGAGGAUCUCCCCUCUCUCUAGAAAUCUGGCCAACGCAGGUGACUGUUCCUCCUUCGGUAAUCGUCCCGUCCAUCGCCCGUCGUCGCCGAUAGCUGUUUGCCACCAAAAUUUCAGGACUUGUUUGUCUCGUCGCGGAGGUCACGGACAGGGACUCUAUUUCGCGAAAAUCGGCUUUCAUCGCCGUGAAAGAGGGUCGAGACUCUUCGGAUACUCGACGCUUCUACCACCGCCGUCCGCCGAUUGGAUCAAGCUGGCUCCGAGAUAUGUUGCGCUCCUCCUUUGUACUCUUCUCCUCACCAUCCGAGUUGGGCAAAGGAGGCCCCAAUUGCCUGUGAGAGGCCCGACUAAGAGGAGUUUCAGACAUGGCAGGGGAUGGAUUGGUGGCGUGCUAGAGUGACUCUGCUGGUAACUGGGGCAGUGAAGGGGUGGUUCGGUUUGAGCACCGGGUCAGGUCUUGUAAACGGGCUCGAGGGUUUGAGCUUGAGGCCCGUUGGUUUUUUGGGUCUGAUUUGUAAGAUAAAAAUGUUGCUCACAGUGAUCAUUGUCAAAUCCUAUCACCGACUAGAUCUACCCA